RNAcentral lists this ribosomal RNA (292 nucleotides) under uncultured bacterium. RNAcentral describes it as "partial 16S ribosomal RNA". The record is from RNAcentral.
GGACUACAAGGGUAUCUAAUCCCAUUCGCUCCCCUGGCUUUCGUUCCUCAGUGUCAGUUAUGGCCCAGCGAGUCGCUUACGCCACCGGUGUUCUUCCCAAUAUCUACGCAUUUCACCGCUACACUGGGAAUUCCACUCGCCUCUACCAUACUCAAGUCUGCCAGUAUCCAAUGCAUUUCCGAGGUUGAGCCCCAGUCUUUAACAUCAGACUUAACAAACCACCUACGAACUCUUUACGCCCAAUAAAUCCGGACAACGCUCGCAUCCUACGUCUUACCGCGGCUGCUGGCAC